RNAcentral lists this ribosomal RNA (165 nucleotides) under Trianthema clavatum. RNAcentral's name for it is "5.8S ribosomal RNA". It matches the Rfam family "5.8S ribosomal RNA". From Rfam's summary of the family: 5.8S ribosomal RNA (5.8S rRNA) is a component of the large subunit of the eukaryotic ribosome. It is transcribed by RNA polymerase I as part of the 45S precursor that also contains 18S and 28S rRNA. The record is from RNAcentral. Lineage: Eukaryota; Viridiplantae; Streptophyta; Magnoliopsida; Caryophyllales; Aizoaceae.
CACAACGACUCUCGGCAACGGAUAUCUCGGCUCUCGCAUCGAUGAAGAACGUAGCGAAAUGCGAUACUUGGUGUGAAUUGCAGAAUCCCGUGAACCAUCGAGUCUUUGAACGCAAGUUGCGCCCGAAGCCAUCAGGCCGAGGGCACGCCUGCCUGGGCGUCACGC